AGAGCGAACGCUGGCGGCAUGCUUAACACAUGCAAGUCGCACGGGCAGGGCAACCUGUCAGUGGCGGACGGGUGAGUAACGCGUAGGAAUCUAUCCACGGGUGGGGGAUAACGCCGGGAAACUGGUGCUAAUACCGCAUGAUACCUGAGGGUCAAAGGCGCAAGUCGCCUGUGGAGGAGCCUGCGUCCGAUUAGCUAGUUGGUGGGGGUAACUGCCUACCAAGGCGACGAUCGGUAGCUGGUCUGAGAGGAUGAUCAGCCACAUUGGGACUGAGACACGGCCCAAACUCCUACGGGAGGCAGCAGUGGGGAAUAUUGGACAAUGGGCGAAAGCCUGAUCCAGCAAUGCCGCGUGGGUGAAGAAGGUCUUCGGAUUGUAAAGCCCUUUCGGCGGGGACGAUGAUGACGGUACCUGCAGAAGAAGCCCCGGCCAACUACGUGCCAGCAGCCGCGGUAAUACGUAGGGGGCGAGCGUUGUCCGGAAUUAUUGGGCGUAAAGAGCUCGUAGGCGGCUUGGCAAGUCACGUGUGAAAUCUCCAGGCUCAACCUGGUGAUGCCACGUGAUACUGCCAUGGCUUGAGUCCGGUAGGGGACCAUGGAAUUCCUGGUGUAGCGGUGAAAUGCGCAGAUAUCAGGAGGAACACCAGUGGCGAAGGCGGUGGUCUGGGCCGGUACUGACGCUGAGGAGCGAAAGCGAGGGGAGCAAACGGGAUUAGAUACCCCGGUAGUCCUGGCCCUAAACGGUGCGCGUUUGCUGUGAGCGGAAUCGACCCCGCUCGUGGCGAAGCUAACGCGUUAAACGCGCCGCCUGGGAAGUACGGCCGCAAGGUUAAA
This 833-nucleotide ribosomal RNA is filed under the name uncultured soil bacterium. Its description in RNAcentral is "bacterial SSU rRNA". It matches the Rfam family "Bacterial small subunit ribosomal RNA", at positions 26 to 898 of the family's 1533-position model. The record is from RNAcentral.